RNAcentral lists this ribosomal RNA (465 nucleotides) under uncultured bacterium. RNAcentral's name for it is "partial 16S ribosomal RNA". It matches the Rfam family "Bacterial small subunit ribosomal RNA", at positions 28 to 506 of the family's 1533-position model. The record is from RNAcentral.
GAUGAACGCUGGCGGCGUGCUUAACACAUGCAAGUCGAACGAUGAAGCCCAGCUUGCUGGGUGGAUUAGUGGCGAACGGGUGAGUAACACGUGAGUAACCUGCCCUUAACUCUGGGAUAAGCCUGGGAAACUGGGUCUAAUACCGGAUAGGAGCGUCCACCGCAUGGUGGGUGUUGGAAAGAUUUAUCGGUUUUGGAUGGACUCGCGGCCUAUCAGCUUGUUGGUGAGGUAAUGGCUCACCAAGGCGACGACGGGUAGCCGGCCUGAGAGGGUGACCGGCCCCCGUGGGACUGGGAAACGGCCCAGACUCCUACGGGGGGCAGCAGGGGGGAAUAUUGCACAAUGGGCGCAAGCCUGAUGCAGCGACGCCGCGUGGGGGAUGACGGCCUUCGGGUUGAAAACCUCUUUCAGUAGGGAAGAAGCGAAAGUGACGGUACCUGCAGAAGAAGCACCGGCUAACUACGU